AGAGCUCAAAUUUGAAAUCUGGCGGUCGCUUGGCCGUCCGAGUUGUAAUCUAGAGAGGUGUUUUCUGUGCUGGACCGUGUAAAAGUCCCUUGGAACAGGGCGUCAUAGAGGGUGAGAAUCCCGUCCAUGACACGGACUCCCAGUGCUCUGCGAUACACCUUCAAAGAGUCGAGUUGUUUGGGAAUGCAGCUCAAAAUGGGUGGUAAAUUUCAUCUAAAGCUAAAUAUUGGCGAGAGACCGAUAGCGAA
This 248-nucleotide ribosomal RNA is filed under the name Auriculariaceae sp. 1 CRJH-2017. RNAcentral describes it as "partial 28S ribosomal RNA". It matches the Rfam family "Eukaryotic large subunit ribosomal RNA", at positions 104 to 344 of the family's 3401-position model. The record is from RNAcentral. Lineage: Eukaryota; Fungi; Basidiomycota; Agaricomycetes; Auriculariales; Auriculariaceae.